GCAAGAUAGCUAGCCUGACCCUAAUAACACACAGCAAAAAUAUGAAAAGCAUAACCCAAAAUUUAACACUAAAACAUUCUACCAUUCUAGUAUAGGCGAUAGAAAGAUACGACAGAGCUAUAGAAAAAGUACCACAAGGGAAAGCUGAAAGAGAAAUGAAAAAACCCGAUAAAGCAAGGAAAAGCAGAGACUAACACUUGUACCUUUUGCAUCAUGAUUUAGCAAGAAAGCCCGAGCGAAGAGAACUUUAGUUCGACCCCCCGAAACCAGGAGAGCUACUCCGAGACAGCCCAAAGGGGCCAACCCGUCUCUGUGGCAAAAGAGUGGGAAGAGCUCCGAGUAGAGGUAACAAGCCUACCGAGCCUGGUGAUAGCUGGUUGUCUAGGAAAUGAAUAUAAGUUCAGCCCUAUAUAAUUCUUACCCCAGUCUUCUGAAGACCAAAGUGAGAUAUAAGAGCUAGUCAAAGGGGGUACAGCCCCUUUGAAAUGGGAUACAACCCUAAACAGGAGAUCCAGGAUCAUAAUUAAACAAGAAAACUUCCCCAGUGGGCCUAGAAGCAGUCAACUGGAAAGAAAGCGUUAUAGCUCAAGAAGUAAAUCCCUUAUAAUAAAGAUAGCUCAUCCCCACUCCCUUGAUAUACUAGACCCCUCUAAAAGAUAGAGAAGAUAAUGCUAAAAUUAGUAAUAAGAGGACUAAACCUCUCCCCGCACGAUUGUAAAUCAGCCCGGAUACUACCACUGAUAAAUAACGGACCCUAUAGAUGAGGGUAAAGCAAGACUAAUAAAGAACAAGAAAAACCAGCCCCCGACACCGUUAACCCAACACAGGAGUGCAUCAAGGAAAGACUAAAAGAUAAGGGAAGGAACUCGGCAAACUAGGGCCCCGCCUGUUUACCAAAAACAUCGCCUCUAGCCAAUCACCAAGCAUUAGAGGUCCCGCCUGCCCUGUGACAGCAAUGUUCAACGGCCGCGGUAUUUUAACCGCGCGAAGGUAGCGUAAUCACUUGUUUUUUAAAUGGAGACCUGUAUGAAUGGCAUAACGAGGGCCUGACUGUCUCCCCUAUCUAGUCAAUGAAAUUGAUCUGUUCGUGCAGAAGCGAACAUUUACCCAUAAGACGAGAAGACCCUAUGGAGCUUUAGGUAUAAAGGUAAGGGGUAUAAAGCCUUACAUGAAAUGCAAGAUAAAGCAAACCCUUAUUACCAGUGUACCUUCGGUUGGGGCGACCGCGGAGAAAAAAAUAUCCUCCACGUGGAAAGGUUAAAACCUUAAACCAAGAGGGACACCUCUAAGAAGCAGAACAUCUGACCAAGAAUGAUCCAGGACCAACCUGAUCAAAGAACCAAGUUACCCUAGGGAUAACAGCGCAAUCCUUUCCCAGAGUCCAUAUCGACGAAAGGGCUUACGACCUCGAUGUUGGAUCAAGACAUCCUAAUGGUGCAGCCGCUAUUAAGGGUUCGUUUGUUCAACGAUUAAAGUCUUACGUGAUCUGAGUUCAGACCGGAGUAAUCCAGGUCGGUUUCUAUCUAUGAUUGUCUUACCCCUAGUACGAAAGGACCGGGGUAAGGAGGCCAAUGCCGAAAGCAAGCCUCUCCCCCACCCGCUGAAACAAUAUCAAACGGAAAAAGUGGGAAAACCAACCGCCAGAGAUAAUGGCAU
Molecule: ribosomal RNA, 1656 nt
Filed under: Monopenchelys acuta (redface moray)
Lineage: Eukaryota; Metazoa; Chordata; Actinopteri; Anguilliformes; Muraenidae
Description: 16S ribosomal RNA
Rfam family: Bacterial large subunit ribosomal RNA
Source: RNAcentral